GGAGACUCUGGCUUCCUCCCACCGUCCAAAAACAUGCUUGAUAGGUGAAUUGGUUGCUCUAAAUUCUCCCUAGGUGUGAAUAGGUGUAUGAUUGAGGUGCUGUGACAAACUGGCAACCUGUCCAGACUGUACCCUGCCCUCGCCCAUCAGAAGCCAGGUUGGGCUCCGGCACCCCAAUGACCCCGAAAGGGACAACCGGUUAAGUAGAUGAAUGAAUGAAUGAAAAAAAUAAGGCUGUUGAUGCACAUUGUUCCUUCUUUUACUUAUAGGUCAGAGUCCUAUUGAUUUUAUCUUUAGCUUUGUGAAGCAAUCUCAGGGCCCCUUAGGAGGAUAUGACCUCGUGGAAAAUCGUCCAACAGCUGGCAGUAACACCAGUCUGGAGGUGACUCUACUUCAGGCUGACUCCACCACAGUGACUGAAGUCACUUUAGUCGAAUCCUCAGGGUCAGGACAGGUUAACGGACUUGUGGAGGCUCAGGGUGGAGGGCAAUACUUGGUCCACUUUGACAAGAUCCCAUCAGUUGAGUUUGUGGCAUUAGUGAAAGGACAGAGUACCAACAGUACAACUUCUAGAGCAUCCUCAGUGACAUUCCAGAGACAGUCUACAACCAGCCUGAGAGCCUCUACACUAACUGUUACUGUGUCUGAUACAGGGAGUGUCUUAGAGCCUGGAACUCCACUCCUCGUUCCCUUUUCUGUAACAACCACUGGUGAUGGAGGAAACUUUGUAAUCAAAG
Long non-coding RNA from Oryzias melastigma (Indian medaka), 737 nucleotides. RefSeq lists it as uncharacterized. The record is from RefSeq and is a predicted model, not a curated record. The transcript is spliced from 3 exons. NCBI's taxonomy places the organism in Eukaryota, Metazoa, Chordata, Actinopteri, Beloniformes, Adrianichthyidae.